AGUGAACGCUGGCGGUAGGCCUAACACAUGCAAGUCGAACGGCAGCACAGUAAGAUCUUGCUCUUACGGGUGGCGAGUGGCGGACGGGUGAGGAAUACAUCGUACUCUACUUUUUCGGGGGGGAUAACGUAGGGAAACUUACUCUAAUACCGCAUACGACCUACCGUUGAAAGCAUGGGAUCUUCGGACCUUGCGCGCUUCCAUGAGCCGAUGUCGGAUUAGCUAGUUGGCGGGGUAAAGGCCCACCAAGGCGACGAUCCGUAGCUGGUCUGAGAGGAUGAUCAGCCACACUGGAACUGAGACACGGUCCAGACUCCUACGGGAGGCAGCAGUGGGGAAUAUUGGACAAUGGGCGCAAGCCGGAUCCAGCCAGACCGCGUGGGUGAAGAAGGCCUUCGGGUUGUAAAGCCCGUUUGUUGGGAAAGAAAAGCAGCAGGUUAAUACCCCGCUGUUCUGACGGUACCCAAAGAAUAAGCACCGGCUAACUUCGUG
RNAcentral lists this ribosomal RNA (492 nucleotides) under uncultured bacterium. Its description in RNAcentral is "partial 16S ribosomal RNA". It matches the Rfam family "Bacterial small subunit ribosomal RNA", at positions 29 to 507 of the family's 1533-position model. The record is from RNAcentral.